This 787-nucleotide long non-coding RNA is filed under the name Olea europaea subsp. europaea. The record is from RNAcentral. Lineage: Eukaryota; Viridiplantae; Streptophyta; Magnoliopsida; Lamiales; Oleaceae.
CUUAGGUGAGACCAAACCCAUCUCCCCCUCACACGAACUCAUAUCUCUUAUGGACUGUUGGGCUUGAGACUUGUUAAUGACUUGAGCUCUAAUACGAGUGUUGGGUGAUCUUGGGUCUUUUCAUUCCUGGAAGCUAGUUUAAGAGGUAAGAACUUUACUUGCAUUUAUAAACAGACCACUAGCCCCUUCCACAACCGAUGUGAGACAACCUCAACAAAAUGACCACACAACCAAAUUACUAUUUGGUAGCCUACAAGUCAAACCUAAUUCCAUUUACCCAACUAAACAUGUGACUAGUGACUUCUAAUCUUCCAUCUUCUCUAUCCUAGACUGAGAACGUCUCUCUUCUCUUCUCUUUUCCUGUCAUCUCUUCCUUCGUCCUUGUUAUUGCUAAUGGUUAUUGUCGAAGCCGAACAACGGAAGUUGUAGGUAAAUUAAUAUGUGCUAUUGGCAUUUGGUAAUUGGUAUGCUUUUCUUUGGUUAUGUGGCUUUUGAGCAGUAGUAGUAACACAAGACAAGUAGAUGUUAGAUGUAGAAUAGCCUUCCAGUUCUGUCAUUCUGAUUUCUAAUUAUUGAUAGUGUUUUUUUAUAAUUUUUAAGUCUCCGUAAAUGUGAAAUAUUAAAGGGUUUUGAUGUUACAGUGUAGAAUGGAAGAUUAAAGCGUUUCCUUAUUUCUAUUUAGAUGCUUUGAUUUUAUAUCUUGUAUAAAAAAACCAUGUGAUGAAGAAAUGGUUGAAGUAGUUAGAAGAAAAUUAAUGCGCAAUUGUAAAACUUCUUUUGAUGGUUG